GUUGCUUGUUUUGCUUAUGCUAAUGCUCAAUUCACUUAAUUUUUAUAAAAUUUUGUUCUACUUCUAAAUUUUUGCAGAAUUGAACAUUUGUAAAAGGAAAACCCCUAAAAGUAAAAUGCAGCAAUGGGACCACAUUUUGAAGAAAAACUAAGAAUCAAGAUUUCAAGAAUUAAGUCGUUAUUUCAAAAAAUAGAAUAUUUGUAUUACAAAAAGCAGGUUGUUCUGCAACAGGAUAACAUUUUCUAAUACAAAAUAAUGUUAGUAUGUUCAAUGAAUGAAGUUGUGAUGUAUCAGAAACACAUAUUUGAUGUUUCCUGAAUAAAGCAGUCAUAAGUUGAGAAUAAAGUUGGUAUGAGAAUGAAGCUGUAAUCAUAAGUUAUGUUACGGUAUUAAAGUCAUUAAGUUAGGGGAAUAAGUAAUUAAUUUUGCCAACACUAACCAUAUGGGCGGUGUUACCACACAGAUAAAAUAAAUGUUUUCCAAAGGCCCACAUACAGUACUUGGAGCCACCCUUGCAUAAGUCAAUGUCAUUUUUGUCCGUUCACACAACAAAUUUAAAGUGGUGUGAAAACCUUCAAAUUUUUGAGGAUGCUUUUGACUGAGCUGCUUUCCCGUUAACACUUCCCCCUCAAUAAAUUUGAGUCAAAGUCACAAACACACUAGCAGUUCAGGGUUAGAGGACACUGUGGCAGGUAGACUGUUUUUUAUUUUAUUUUAUUUUAUUAUUAUUAUUUUUUGAAGUUUUCAUCUACUCAGUUGCUAACUACAGACCAGUCCAGUCAGCAGUUGCUCAGUGGUGCCAUCUUGAGCAGCAGCCAUUGCUGCAGUUGCAGCUCAGUUUCUGCUGCUGUCUGCACACAUUAACAGCAGUAUGGGUAACUAGACUAUAAAUGUUACACAAGUGCAGAUGAAGGUACCAUAAUCACACGAGUAACACUUUACACUAAGGUCCUUGUAAUAAGUAUGAAUUCAUAAGCCACUUAUUAAACCCUAUUUGGUGCUUAAAAACACUUACAAGUGACGAGUGUUAAUAAAGUAUAAUCAACAUAUUUAGUUUUACCCACUAGUCACUUGCAGCUUCUUAUUAGAAAGUUGUUAACAGCUUAGCGACCUGUCGUGAACAUCUAAAGAAUGUUUAGUAGACUUUCUAAGGGUUAAUUGACUCUUACAGCACCAAGAAAAUGCAGCCCUGAAAGGACAGAAAUAGUUGUGAUUCUGACAGUUUGUAAUGAGUCAAAGCUGUCGAGCCACUCCGUUCAAUAAUAGCUAAUGUUACAACAGGAAGUUAAUUGCGUCAGUGUUAUAGUUUUUCUUCUUUUGACAAUGACACAGUUUCACAGGAUGACUGUGGGUGUGCUGUUGUUGUGAAUCUGUCAGUGAGUCUCAUCUCACCGAUUCACAACCCAGCUCUUUCUCUGAGUUGAUUCAGAGUCCAUCACUCCUCCAAAUCUGUUGUUAGAGAAAAGAAGAAAUACUUUCAGCAUUUUUAUGUGUGGACUUGAAUUUUCUUUAUAAUUUUCACUUUGGGCAUCCAAUGUUUUUUUGUCUGCAAGUUUUGUGAGACAUACUGUACGUAUCCCAAAAAAAAAAUUCAAACAUGAGGGUUAGCAAAGGUUGCAUACGAGGGCCAGUCUUACCCUGUUUGAUUGUUUUAUGAGUCGUGGUGGAGGGCGAAGAAAAGCUGUAUGAGUGAAUCAUGAGCGACAUGCAACCAGACACUUACAAUGUUGUUGAUGCGGAGUGUUUAUGUGAAUUACUGUUGUCAACAUCACAGGUCAUGGUGUCAUGGUGCUUUCAGGUGCAGUCAGGAAAGUUCUGAAAUUAAUAAAUCAGGUCAUAGGUUUGCUCUUUCUCUGCAGUCAGCCAACAAAAUUUUCUGACAUGUCAGAAUUCCAUCCGGCCAGUGAGGAACAGCUGAUCGGGUUCUUGUGACGCUGAAUGGGAAAAGAUCAGGAAUGAAGUUGUCCUGACUUCUAGAGCAGUCCUACAACUCAUGAACCAGGUCAGAAACAGUUUCAAAUAACACAGUGUACGCUCAGCGUAAGUAGUUUUCCAAACCUACAAACAAUCAGAUUAAUGCAGUGUAGUAUUGAUGAGAGAUAUAGACAGUAGUGUGCAAAGGAAAGAAACUACCUUUUUUUUGUUUUGUUUUUUUGUUUGUUUUUUUACCACUGAACUCUGUAUAUUGAGGCUGUUUGCUCCUCUUUUAAUGGAAAUAAUUUGUCCACCUCAUGUGUAAGCGAUGGAAUGCUGUAUCCAGCUGACCUUGAUGAGAAACCACAGUCCUACAUUUAAGAAAGCAAAUAUAUAACAUGGUCUCUGUCUCUCAUGAAAAAUCAUGUUGCGUCUGUCCUUGUUUGUCAGUUUCAGUGAAAAUGACACUGCUGAGCAGGGCUGUAAUGUCAGAGGUCAGAGCAGCUCCCUCUGUGAGGCUGCAGCUGGAGGCUGAAAUGGACAAACUGUGCUAUAACAGAGAUAUUUAAAAUGUUAUUUCAGAAACAAAUCAAUAGUAACAACAGCUCAAUCCAUGAGGCGUUGAAAACACUUAAUCUGACUAAUGCAAGAUAAUAAAAAAGUGUACAAUCUUGCGGCUGUGCUUGCAAUUUUUGGCUAUGUGCAUGAUAACCAAUGGGUGUCUAUAAAUAAAUCCAUAAUGGCCUGGGAAUUAUUUCCAAUCCCUCAACUGAAACGCAAUCUGGAUGCGAAGAUGACGGCAGACGGCUAAUAAAGAUUUAAGCAGCAAUAACUCGUCAGGCAAAUAAAAGCCAGAUUUCAAUAAUACAUCACUGACAAAGAGCUGCACUUCUAAUAAGCAACAUUAUGGAUGCAUAAACUGAACAAAUUACCUCCAGUAAGAGAGCAUUGUCUUCAUGGAAAUUUGUGAGUCUGUGACAAUGGAGUUUUUCUAAGUUAUUAAACCUGUAGUAAGAGAGGCUGAACUCUGCAGAGCUUCGUAUGAUGAUGGUUAUAAAUUACUUAGCGUAGAGACAUACAGUCCCUCUAGUUCCUCUAACAAUAUUAGACACUAAAUCAUGUGACGGCUUCAACAUUGGACAGAAAUUGAUUGAUUGACCGAUGAACAUGGUUUUAGUCUCAGGAGAAAUGAGACAGAAGAAGCUAAUGAGAAAAUAUGUUUGUACAACAAAUUAUUUGCCACUUGAUAAAUGACUUGUUAGUGGUGUACAGUGUUGUCUCCCAAAAGCCAAAGCUGUAUUUUCAGACUGUGGUUGUAGCUAAAUAAACCGUUUUUUGAGUUGUUUAGUGGUCGUUUGGCCCCUUGCUGCUGUGCCUCUAUUUCUUAUGUGAGGUCUGCUGUGGUGGUUCUGACAGAAGUCACAGCUGUCAUAUCUGAGAGUGAGCCAAGUGACGUUUCCAUCCCUCUGUGGAAAAAAGAUAAGAAUUAAUCAAUCAGAUGAGGUAAGGUUAUUCCACUGCCAAACUGUGAUUAAAGCAGGAUAAACACUUGAUAAUUGUACUGAUUUUGGCCCUCAUUCCAUUCUCCUGACAAAAGUCAGAGGCCUUAUUAUCAGAUCAUUCAAAAGUUUAUCACACCAAAACCAAUUUUUAAAAAGCCAGAGAUUCCUAGCAUGGCUACAAAUGCUAACAGAUUCAAGUUUUGUUCCUGUAAUUUAUAACAGUGUGGUGAACAUAGCACAACUUUCAUACCUGGAAAUCUCAUUAAAUAUCUUAAGGUCAAAUGUAAUUUUAGAGUAGGAACCUAUGAGAGCUAAUCGUUGCCGACUGCUUAAAAGUCAGUCUUAGAUCAUCUGAGACUUUGCAAGAAGAUGGCCUUACGAUCAGUUCCUCUUGUUUCCCGGUUAAAUUUGGUUAGAUAGUGUUCAGUGUUUGACGGGAUGGUGCACGAUGCAGACUGCAGCUGUAUGUGAGCCAUUGGUGUCCUCAGAUUCAGAAAGGUCGACUUGUUUUAAUGUGAUGUUUGUCUUUGUCAAAGCAGAAGCAGAAGGUGUAAUUCUGAAUGCUGCUAAGAAUGUCUGGACUUGGUCCUUGUGGUGGCCUAAACUGCCACUACCUCGUGUUAGUAUUUCUUUUUCUUUGGGUUUUAACACCAGUUUUGUUUGUAGUUUAAAAAGAGCACAUUACACACCUUUCUGUUGAAAUAAAAUCACUUUAAUUGUUGUUCACUUUAGUUGUUUUCUAACUUGGGUGCACACAAUCUAGUUAACAAACUGUCACAUGGUUGAUUUUCCACAUCAUGCUUUAAUCUCAAGUUAUACUUCCUCCUGUUUUCUUUUGUUUGAGUUUCCUGGCAAAGGGCUGUCUGCUGAUCCAAGAUGGCCUUUUAAGCCCUGCCCACAGGAAGUGGGAGAGACCAUGGAGGGGGAACACAGGGGCAGCAUGGACUUUUAUUUCAUCUCCAAUCUUCUGUUUGUGUUCUUUUCAGUUUGUAAAGGCAAUUUAGUUUAUUCUGUAAAUAGUUUGUUUUGAUGAUUUGAAGCUAUUUUUCUUAGUUUGUUUAAUGUUUAGUUUGGAGUCACAUUUAGUUUCCCCCUUGUGUUUCUGUUGGACUAGUCCUUUGUCUAUUUAAACCCCCAGCAUGUCUCACUUUGGUUAGGUC
Xyrichtys novacula (pearly razorfish) is the source of this 4576-nucleotide non-coding RNA. The record is from the annotation of a GenBank genome assembly. NCBI's taxonomy places the organism in Eukaryota, Metazoa, Chordata, Actinopteri, Labriformes, Labridae.